RNAcentral lists this ribosomal RNA (253 nucleotides) under uncultured bacterium. RNAcentral's name for it is "partial 16S ribosomal RNA". It matches the Rfam family "Bacterial small subunit ribosomal RNA", at positions 524 to 776 of the family's 1533-position model. The record is from RNAcentral.
UACGUAGGGUGCGAGCGUUAAUCGGAAUUACUGGGCGUAAAGGGUGCGUAGGCGGCGGAGUACGUUGGGUGUGAAAUCCCGGGGCUCAACCUCGGAAUGGCAUUCAAUACUGCUUCGCUAGAGUACUGGAGAGGAGGCUGGAGUUUACGGUGUAGCAGUGAAAUGCGUAGAUAUCGUGAGGAAGGCCGGUGGCGAAAGCGAGCCUCUGGACAGUUACUGACGCUGAUGCACGAAGGCCAGGGGAGCAAACGGG